CAUAAACAACUCACCCAGGUAUGACAUAACAAUCCUAUGCUUAGUCUGUUUUUUUCCUUUUUUUUUUUUAUAUGCAAAGAUAGAAGAGAGAGAAAUAAUAGUAUCUAAGUUUCUAUAUAUGCUAUGAAACAUUUGUUUCAAUCUAUACCACUAUUAAGCUCCAUCUCACAAUAUCAGAAAUAUGUAUCUGUACAAUUUCACAGUUAAAUAGAAGACGACAUAAAACUUGUGGAUGACUGCAUCUUUCCCUCUCAUCUGAAACUUUUGUUUUACAAAUACUUUCCACAUGUGAUUUCAAAGAAAGGAUGCAAGGCCCGCAACACAUCAGGCAACCUGAGCCAAUCUCAAAGCCUCCAAUUUCCAUAUACCAGUUUUCAGGAUUAGACCAUACCAGAGCAUGUCAACAUAUGAAGGUGACUUGGUGGCAAAAUGCUACUUUACAAAGCACAACACCUGUGUAUUAUCCUCUAAUGACUUUAGUUACAAAACUCUCUAUUCCAUUCAAAAGUCACUACUGCAACAUUAACAACUCACCCAGAGAUACAUAUUAACAGACAACAACAUACCCAUGAUUGCACUCCAUGUCGAUUACAACCAAACAUUUUCUGGUAAAACCUUUGACCGACCACACUAAAUCACCUUUCCUAUUUCACCAAUAUCCAUUCAUUUUGUUCCCCAUAUUUCAGAUUUAAAUAUCUCGAAUCUAUCACUGUGUUGCCCUUGCAAAAAUUGCAGACAACAAACAAAAAAAAUUAGGGUGUUUUCAAACUUCACUGCAUUCCAGAUUUAUGACACUAAUCAGAGCAUCUGUGUAUUAUCCUCUGAUAACUUUUGUUACAAAACUAUUUGUUCCAUUCAAAACUCGCUACUGCAACAUAAACAACUCACCCAGCUGUGAUUUCAACGGAAGGAUCCAAGGCCUGCAACACACCAGGCAACUUGAGCCAAUCUCAAAGCCUCCAAUUUCCAUAUGCCAGUUUUGAGGAUUGCAGCAUGGCAGCGCUUGUGUAUUGUCCUCUGGUGACUUUCAUUACAAAAGUGUCUGUACCAUUCAAAAGUCACUGCUCCAACAUAAACAGCUCACCCAAAUACAUAUUACCAGACAACAACAUACCCAUGAUUGCACUCCAUGCCGAUUACAAACAAACAUUUUCAGAUAAUGGUAAAGGCACUUUUUGGCUUGUGGUCAGCAGACAUUCUUUAGUUAUAUGAGGCUGCCUUUAUGUGGAUGUCACAAGUUCUGCACAUCUCAUACAACAGAUUCCCGAGAUUGAUGCUUAACACCCUCUCCGACACCAAAAUCAACUGGAUUGCACUUCAUUCAAGUUGCAAUAGUUACAAAUUGCCUCUUACAAAACUAUGAAGGUUGACUUGCUUGAUAUACAUGACCUUCCUCACCAUG
Long non-coding RNA from Cryptomeria japonica (Japanese cedar), 1402 nucleotides. RefSeq lists it as uncharacterized. The record is from RefSeq and is a predicted model, not a curated record. The transcript has 13 exons. NCBI's taxonomy places the organism in Eukaryota, Viridiplantae, Streptophyta, Pinopsida, Cupressales, Cupressaceae.